UGGGGAAUAUUGGACAAUGGGCGCAAGCCUGAUCCAGCAACGCCGCGUGGAGGACGAAGGCCUUAGGGUCGUAAACUCCUGUCAGUAGGGACGAAAAAGUAGGGUCGAACAGGCCCUGCCAUUGACGGUACCUGCAGAGGAAGCCCCGGCUAACUCCGUGCCAGCAGCCGCGGUAAUACGGAGGGGGCAAGCGUUAUUCGGAUUUACUGGGCGUAAAGGGCGUGUAGGCGGCUUGAUAGGUCAAAGGUGAAAGCCCUCGGCUCAACCGAGGAACUGCCUUUGAAACCAUCUGGCUCGAGGCCGGGAGGGGGUAGUGGAAUUCCUGGGUGUAGCGGUGAAAUGGCGCAGAUAUCAGGAGGAACACCAGUGGCGAAGGCGCCGCUCUGGGCCGUAACUGACGCUGAGGAGCGAAAGCAUGGGUAGCAAACAGGAUUAGAUACCCUGGUAGUCCACGCCGUAAACGAUGAGUGCUAGUCGUCGGCAGGCAUGCCUGUCGGUGACGCAGCUAACGCAUUAAGCACUCCGCCUGGGAGUACGGCCGC
RNAcentral lists this ribosomal RNA (542 nucleotides) under uncultured bacterium. Its description in RNAcentral is "bacterial SSU rRNA". It matches the Rfam family "Bacterial small subunit ribosomal RNA", at positions 355 to 889 of the family's 1533-position model. The record is from RNAcentral.